Long non-coding RNA from Nicotiana tabacum (common tobacco), 625 nucleotides. RefSeq lists it as uncharacterized. The record is from RefSeq and is a predicted model, not a curated record. NCBI's taxonomy places the organism in Eukaryota, Viridiplantae, Streptophyta, Magnoliopsida, Solanales, Solanaceae.
CAACAGAUUUAUGUGAAGAUCUGGGUCUCAAUCUCCAACCACCGCGAAAUCUGAGCCCUUUAAAUUUUUAUGUGUGAAACUGCGUGCCUUUAUUUCUUUUGCAAAAUAUCUGAUACAAACUCUAGAAUCUCGGUAGCUUUCUGAAGGACUACUCUCUUAAUAGAUCCAUUCAUCUUCUCAGCAAUUUUAGAGAUUGCUCAAGAGCAUGCAUCACUUGCUUACUCAGAGGUGACUUCAAAUGUGGAGUUGCAGAUUCAAGAUGAGCAGUGGCAAAAGCAAGUGCCUCUUCCAAAAUAUCCUCUCCAUGAAUCCUUACAUGUGAAGCUUCGUAUAAGCUCAAUAGACCCUUUGCAUCAUUACUAAGACUAAGAGACUCCUUGAAUUUUCCGUUUGCGUCUUGGAAUCUGCUGAAAAUUUCUGGAUCAUGAAUAAAAACAAAAGAUUAGUUUUCAUGCAGCAAAAGUUGAAAAAUUGGUGUAAGAAUAUAUAAUGGACCUACUUGGGGAGAUAUUGUAACCAUGUUGUCUCAACAUUCGAAAUUGAAGGGCACAAGUGUACAAAUCAUUGUACUCAUGACCUUCAAAGUUUGGAUCUUCUUUAUAAAUCUCAUCCAACAUGUCUUCUA